AACCUCAACUUCCACCGUGGGUUCCACCAGCGUCACUAUGUUUUACUUCCCCGAUAGACAUGGUUCGAUGCUUUUUAUUUGGUGGUUAAUGUUCUCUUCAUGAGAGAUCAUUGAUUUCGAUCCACGGUAGAUAAAUGGUUUUAUUAAAGAUGUAUCUCCAGCUAUUGAUAAAGAGUUCGGAGCCUUUUUCUUCGAGCUCGCUUUUACAAAUCUGAUAUAGUUGGUCAUAAUUCUUUCGACAUUU
This 244-nucleotide small nucleolar RNA is filed under the name Kluyveromyces lactis. RNAcentral's name for it is "Small nucleolar RNA snR31". It matches the Rfam family "Small nucleolar RNA snR31". Lineage: Eukaryota; Fungi; Ascomycota; Saccharomycetes; Saccharomycetales; Saccharomycetaceae. The record is from Rfam by way of RNAcentral.